GAUGAACGCUAGCGGCAGGCCUAAUACAUGCAAGUCGAACGGUGUAGCAAUACACAGUGGCGCACGGGUGCGUAACACGUAUGCAACCUACCUUACAUUGGGGGAUAGCCUUUCGAAAGGGAGAUUAAUACCGCAUAAGACAGUAACUAGGCAUCUAGUAGCUGUUAAAGAUUUAUCGAUGUAAGCUGGGCAUGCGUCCAAUUAGUUAGUUGGCGAGGUAAUGACUCACCAAGACGAUGAUUGGUAGGGGAACUGAGAGGUCAAUCUCCCACACUGGCACUGAGAUACGGGCCAGACUCCUACGGGAGGCAGCAGUAGGGAAUAUUGGGCAAUGGGCGCAAGCCUGACCCAGCCAUGCCGCGUGCAGGAAGAAGGCGUUAUGCGUUGUAAACUGCUUUUAUACAGGAAGAAACGACCCUUGCGAGGGGCAUUGACGGUACUGUAUGAAUAAGCACCGGCUAACUCCGUGCCAGCAGCCGCCGCGG
RNAcentral lists this ribosomal RNA (485 nucleotides) under uncultured bacterium. RNAcentral describes it as "partial 16S ribosomal RNA". It matches the Rfam family "Bacterial small subunit ribosomal RNA", at positions 28 to 523 of the family's 1533-position model. The record is from RNAcentral.